Molecule: ribosomal RNA, 361 nt
Filed under: uncultured bacterium
Lineage: Bacteria
Description: bacterial SSU rRNA
Rfam family: Bacterial small subunit ribosomal RNA
Source: RNAcentral
GACGAACGCUGGCGGCAUGCCUAACACAUGCAAGUCUAGGGGUAGCAAUACCACUGGCGCACGGGUGAGUAACACGUAGGUUAUCUGCCCCCAUCACAGACAUAACCCCCGGGAAACCGGGGCUAAUAUCUGAUGAGGUCGCGAGAUCAAAGCUUCGGCGGAUGGGGAUGAGCCUGCGGCUGAUUAGCUAGUUGGUGAGGUAAUGGCUCACCAAGGCGACGAUCAGUAGCUGGUCUGAGAGGACGAACAGCCACACUGGAACUGAGACACGGUCCAGACUCCUACGGAGGCAGCAGUGGGGAAUUUUGGACAAUGGGGGCAACCCUGAUCCAGCCAUGCCGCGUGAGUGAAGAAGGCCUUC